CCAAUAGCGUAUAUUAAAGUUGUUGCAGUUAAAAAGCUCGUAGUUGAAUUUCGGGAUUGACACAUCGGUCGUGCCUUAAGGGGUAUGAACUGGUGUAGUCAAUUUCUCACCUUCUGGAGAACCGCGAUGCCCUUAAUUGGGUGUCGCGGGGAACCAGGACCUUUACUUUGAAAAAAUUAGAGUGUUUAAAGCAGGCAUUUUGCUUGAAUACAUUAGCAUGGAAUAAUAAAAUAGGACGGCAUGAUUCUAUUUUGUUGGUUUCUAGGAUCACCGUAAUGAUUAAUAGGGAUAGUUGGGGGCAUUAGUAUUCAAUUGUCAGAGGUGAAAUUCUUGGAUUUAUUGAAGACUAACUACUGCGAAAGCAUUUGCCAAGGAUGUUUUCAUUAAUCAAGAACGAAAGUUAGGGGAUCGAAGACGAUCAGAUACCGUCGUAGUCUUAACCAUAAACUGUGCCGACUAGGAAUCAGACGAUGUUAAUUUUUUAAUGACUCGUUUGGCACCUUAC
RNAcentral lists this ribosomal RNA (505 nucleotides) under uncultured Glomeromycotina. RNAcentral's name for it is "partial small subunit ribosomal RNA". It matches the Rfam family "Eukaryotic small subunit ribosomal RNA", at positions 591 to 1091 of the family's 1831-position model. Lineage: Eukaryota; Fungi; Glomeromycota. The record is from RNAcentral.